This 361-nucleotide long non-coding RNA is filed under the name Mytilus galloprovincialis (Mediterranean mussel). The record is from RNAcentral. Lineage: Eukaryota; Metazoa; Mollusca; Bivalvia; Mytilida; Mytilidae.
UUCAUUAAUUUUUUUCAUAAAUAAAGUCAGUUGAACAACAUUUAUGCAACUAAUAUUCCAUUCAUACACAAUGAAAAAAUUUAACAUUCAAUGUCGACAUUCUAAAUAUGAUCAACAAAAAUAACCUAAUAACAAAUCUUAUCAUAAGAAUAAAACGUUUAUCAAAAGUAAAACAAAAAUAUAGAAACAAAAUUAGAAUACCAGAGCUUUUUGCAAAAGAAUUUUGUCACCAUUUUGGAGGGAUAAACAGAUGAGUUCCUUACUUGACUAAACAAAGUGAAAGAUGCCAUACACACAAGUCUGACGAGAGAUCCUUACUAUGUUGAAGUGAUGAAUUAAGUAAGGCUUAAGUUUAACUUGC